Molecule: ribosomal RNA, 305 nt
Filed under: uncultured bacterium
Lineage: Bacteria
Description: bacterial SSU rRNA
Rfam family: Bacterial small subunit ribosomal RNA
Source: RNAcentral
CCCCUACGGGGCGCAGCAGUGAGGAAUAUUGGUCAAUGGCCGAAGGGCUGAACCAGCCAAGCCGCGUGAAGGAAUAAGGCCCUACGGGUCGUAAACUUCUUUAGUCAGGGAACAAAGGGUGCCACGCGUGGCGCUGUGAGUGUACCUGAAGAAUAAGCAUCGGCUAACUCCGUGCCAGCAGCCGCGGUAAUACGGAGGAUGCGAGCGUUAUCCGGAUUUAUUGGGUUUAAAGGGUGCGUAGGCGGUUUGUCAAGUCAGCGGUAAAAAUUCCGGGCUCAACCCGGCCCCGCCGUUGAAACUGGCGG